AGUGGACUGUAUGGUUGCUUGUGAUUAUCACAAGAGGAAAGUCCGGGCUCCAAAGAGCAGAGUGGUGGAUAACUUCCACCGAAGGUGACUUCAGGGAAAGUGCAACAGAAAGUAAACCGCCUUUAAAAAGGUAAGGGUGAAACGGUGCGGUAAGAGCGCACCAGCGGUUUGGGUGACCAAAUCGGCUCUGCAAACCCCACUCGGAGCAAGGCCAAAUAGAGAGGUAAAUAAAAGGCUGCUCGUCUAAACCUCUGGGUAGGCCGCUCGACACGGAAGGCAACUUUCGUGCUAGAUAGAUGACCAUAGCCCAUUUAUGGGAAACAGAACCCGGCUUAUAGGUCCACUCU
Molecule: RNase P RNA, 347 nt
Filed under: marine eukaryotic metagenome
Description: Bacterial RNase P class A
Rfam family: Bacterial RNase P class A
About the family: Ribonuclease P (RNase P) is a ubiquitous endoribonuclease, found in archaea, bacteria and eukarya as well as chloroplasts and mitochondria. Its best characterised activity is the generation of mature 5'-ends of tRNAs by cleaving the 5'-leader elements of precursor-tRNAs. Cellular RNase Ps are ribonucleoproteins.
Source: RNAcentral